CAGUUGUUGUACAGUGUCAGUUAGCGCUCGAAUUUAGUGAGCCAGGGUGUCGAGCGGAGGUGAAUCCUAUGGCCGAAGGUUGCACUAAGAUGGAUCCGCGGGCAGCAUUACUCAGCUGCAAUGAAUGGAUUGCUGAUAGGAGGUAGUGGAGUUUUGUGCUUUUGUCUGCAACAUGCUUUUUGUUCUCAUAAAAGAGGAUUGGACCCU
Molecule: long non-coding RNA, 207 nt
Filed under: Elaeis guineensis (African oil palm)
Lineage: Eukaryota; Viridiplantae; Streptophyta; Magnoliopsida; Arecales; Arecaceae
Description: long non-coding RNA (EGUI_LNC042975)
Source: RNAcentral